GGCUUAGUUUGACUCAACACGGGGAAACUCACCAGGUCCAGAAAUGCUUAGGAUUGACAGAUUGAUAGCUCUUUCUUGAUGAUAUGGGUGGUGGUGCAUGGCCGUUCUUAGUUGGUGCAGUGAUUUGUCUGCUUGAUUGCGAUAACGAACGAGACCUUGAGCUUCUACAUAGCCAGGUUGACUUUUGUCGGCCGCCGGCCUCUGAGAGGGACUUUUGGCUCCCGUCAAUGGGAGUACGAGGCAAUGACAGGUCUAGGUAAUCUUGUUAACUCUAUCGCGC
Molecule: non-coding RNA, 280 nt
Filed under: Exophiala aquamarina CBS 119918
Lineage: Eukaryota; Fungi; Ascomycota; Eurotiomycetes; Chaetothyriales; Herpotrichiellaceae
Description: Eukaryotic small subunit ribosomal RNA
Rfam family: Eukaryotic small subunit ribosomal RNA
Source: Rfam by way of RNAcentral